UCAAUUGCAUUCUUUCAAAAAAGUUUUUUACAUAUUCUUAAAAUUUCAAUUAUUUCUCAAUUGGGUGCUUUUGUCAUGUUUGUUAAAAAAUUUCAGUUGGGUUAGAGCAUCCACUCUUCCCAGCUAAAUCAAAUCCUUAGCUAUAGUAGCUAGUGAGUUUUUUUUUUUUUUCAUGGCAUCCAUGCUCUCUAGCUCUGUGAACAUUGCUCGCUACAUAUAGCGAGCAUUUCAAAUUUUUACUCCUGGUAGGGGAAAAAAGAAAGCAGCACACGGGGAAAGGUUGUUUUUCAUCUUUAACACUAAAAUUCAAGGAGGCACACACUUUUUUUCUUUUCUCCAGCCAAAAGCAUAAAAUCUAAUGGCAAGCACAGGGCCUGAACAUGAGCUUAGAGAAGACGAGGAAGUCUUUGUUUUUGUGGGCUUUGUUGAAUUUGAAGUGAAGAAGAUGGUAGAAAACAAUUUCAAUCUAUGGCACAAAAAUGUUUUCUUCUAUGCUGCAGAGGAGGUUCGAGAAUCUUUUGAUGUUAGAGAAGUUGGGGAGGGGACCUUGUUAUGAUAAAGAUGGAGUAAAUAAAGGACCUUGAACUCCUGAAGAAGACCAACUCUUGGUUUAGUACAUUCAAAAACCUGGUCUUGGUUGCUGGCGUAGCCUCCCUAAGAACACAGGUGCACUGUUGGAAGGGGUAGUGAACGCAAUAACAACACCAUUUGAGGGAAAAGGUGUUAUUAGAAAACCAAAAAUUGAUAGGGAAAUCGAAUGCAUUGAAGGCCGAAUAUAACCUUUUACUAAUAUGUUGAGGUGUUGAUAUCUACUCACUGGCCACUCUUCUACUGUCCGGGCACUUGCUUCUGAUGCUGAAGGAAACAGAAUGAUUACCUGUAGAGAUGAUCUUGCACUAAAAAUAUGGGAAACAGAUGUUGAAAGGAUGUGUAAUCGGGUGAUGAGCUUGCGUCUUGGUGAGAAACAUGUUCUUUAUGUAUAUUGGAUAUUCUGCUCCUCAUUUUAUUACAGCAGAUUGAAAUGUUCCAUGGACGAGAACAGUACUACCUUAGAGGAUAAUGUAAGUAAUUCUCAUCUUAGUUAAUGAUCAAUUGCAGGAUGCCUGUGUUAGAAAGCUUUCAGAUAUCAGUAGGCUAGAGAAUGCUGGAUAGAUACACUUGAAUACUCAUCUUACAUAUAAUUUGAAUAACAAAAAAUAAAAAGAA
This is a long non-coding RNA of Populus trichocarpa (black cottonwood), 1206 nucleotides long. RefSeq lists it as uncharacterized. The record is from RefSeq and is a predicted model, not a curated record. NCBI's taxonomy places the organism in Eukaryota, Viridiplantae, Streptophyta, Magnoliopsida, Malpighiales, Salicaceae. The transcript has 5 exons.